CCAGCAUCGAGGCUGAAGUGGGAGGAUCACUUGAGUCUAGGAGUUCAAGAUUAGCCUGGGUAUACAGUGAGACCCCUGUCUCCACAAAAAACAACAACAAAAAAUUAGCUAGGCGUGGUGUGCACCUGUAUCCCAGCUACUUGGGAGGCUGAGGCAGGAGGAUCGCUUGAGCCCAGGAGGUCAAGGCUGCAGUGAGCCGUGAUGGUACCACUGCACUCCAGCCUGGCUAACAGAGUGAGACGCUGCCUCUGAAAUUUUUUUAAAUAAUAAUAAUGUAUCAAUAUUGUAUUGAUUCAUUAAUCAUAACAAAUGUGCCCCCGUCAGGGAAGAGAUGGUGACAGCAGCACCUGAGCAGGUGGCGCCUGAGUGGUGACCUUCAAACGGCAUUAACCACUGAGCACAGCCCCACACAUUCAAACCCUCACAGCCGGACCUUCUGGGCUGUGUGGCCGGUUCACAGAUGGGGAACCUCAGGCUCAAGUGUGUCUCUACCCAGCCCAGAAUCUGGAGACAAAACACAGACGUCAAAGGCAGAAAAGACCUGCCCAUGUGAAAAUGGGGGAGACGCCUGGCCCCACUGGGCUCGCAUGACGGCCAAGUACGCUCAACACCUCACUCCCCUCAGGCUGCAGAAGAGGCCCAGAGAAGGACAAGCAUUCUCCCAAGGUCACACAGAGAGUUGCUGGCAGGCAGAGCCACCAUCCCACCCCAGCCCAGGCCUCCUUCCGCCACAUCCCAGAAUGUUUGUGAGAAAAGAUGAAAGGAGGCUGGGCCCUUGAUCUGCCUGGCCUGAUGGGAGGGCAGAGGGCAGCCGGAAAUCUGCAGCUAGAGCUGUGACCCCACAGUCCACAGGGGGUGAGAAACCUGCCGCACAGAGAGGAGACGGUCACGACAGGAGGGCUGAAAGAAUCAUUGUAAAAAUAAUCACCAUGGCUCACAGUCCUGGUGCAAGGAGUUUCCUGAGCAGGGAAUCGCUUCCAGGGACUCUGGAUGUAGCAUCUAGUUCAUUCUUCACAACGCAACAAGGGAAACUUAGGACCAGAGAAUAGAAGUGACUUGCCCAAACUCAAACUGCAAGUUUAUGACAGAGCCUGGACUAAGAUCAAGCUUUCUCAAUGUCACAAGAAUUCAGUAACAGCCUACUGUAUACAAGGCACCAGCCUAGGUCCUCAUCAUGGUGAAGGCUGGUGGGGAGGUUCAAAGAUUUGUCCAUGGGUCAACACCUCCCCAAGGCCAGGUCUCCAGGGACACAGACUCUGCCCUUUGAAGGCUCCAAGCCAGAAGAGGAAACAGACCCUGAAACACUAUGAGCAGGAGGGCCAGAGAGCGACACACUUUGGUAUCCAGGAGACCCAGCCCCACUGCCUGCAACCCUGCAACCUCCCUGUGCCCCACUGAGCUGCUCAGUAAAAUGGAACUAAGGAUGGUGCCAACUGUCAGUGAUGCUGAGAGGUACAACAAGGAGGUGAAAUGUGAGACCCUGUGCAUUGUGGACACCCAAUAAACAGUGAUUCUUUUUAUUUUUAAGU
RNAcentral lists this long non-coding RNA (1529 nucleotides) under Homo sapiens (human). RNAcentral's name for it is "HSALNT0266823". The record is from RNAcentral. Lineage: Eukaryota; Metazoa; Chordata; Mammalia; Primates; Hominidae.